UUCGCUUAUCAGCUUGCCUUUUGGCUAAGAUCAUGUAGUAUCUGUUUUUACUGUUUAAUAUUCGAUAUGUCUCUUCAUAGCGAGGACUACAUAUUACAGAUUUGCGUGAGGGCAGAAAUUUGAGCUUGCUCCUUUCUCUCCACGCACGAAUAAGACAGGUGUCGCUGGGAAUCACGCACCGCCU
Molecule: small nuclear RNA, 184 nt
Organism: Hippoglossus stenolepis (Pacific halibut)
Lineage: Eukaryota; Metazoa; Chordata; Actinopteri; Pleuronectiformes; Pleuronectidae
Product: U2 spliceosomal RNA
Exons: 1
Source: RefSeq, a predicted model, not a curated record